RNAcentral lists this long non-coding RNA (554 nucleotides) under Jatropha curcas. RNAcentral describes it as "long non-coding RNA (JCUR_LNC002641)". The record is from RNAcentral. Lineage: Eukaryota; Viridiplantae; Streptophyta; Magnoliopsida; Malpighiales; Euphorbiaceae.
ACAUAUGAGGUCUAAUUAAAAAGUCAAUCUUUCAAUCAUACAAGUCAGUCUAAAAUCAUGCAAAUAUGGGGCCCAACAUAUCUACAGGCGUUAAGAUUACACAUAUUAAAUCAGGAAACUAUAGGCAUAUAUAAGAACAAAUCAAACCAUUCUUGGACACAUUAAUCUAAUACAUAACCAGAUUUAAAGUUCAGUCAUGCAUAAAUAUUAAUACAAUAUUCAUAAAAAUAUUCCAAUAAAAAUAAACAGACAAAGGCAUGAGAUACAAUUUACACUUGGAUUUUUCUUCCUUUCUUGCUACCGUCCUUCAACUCGGCGCCCAAGACUUUUUGAUUCAGCUCCCAUCUCUCCUCCUUAUUUGUUUUGCAAGCUCAUUCUCUUCUCCUUGCUAAGUGACGGUUUCUUGCUUGAUUGGUUACUUUUUGGUGGUCUUUUGCUUGGAUAUGCACGGCUAUGAGUGGAGGAGAAGAGGCAAAAGUGUGUAAUUCUUUGCCUUUUGCUUUCUUUUCUAUUUAUAGUGUCAAAACAUCACUUCAGGGCAACCUUCCUUUUCC